Molecule: ribosomal RNA, 739 nt
Filed under: uncultured Actinomycetes bacterium
Lineage: Bacteria; Bacillati; Actinomycetota; Actinomycetes
Description: bacterial SSU rRNA
Rfam family: Bacterial small subunit ribosomal RNA
Source: RNAcentral
GACGAACGCUAGCGGCGUGCUUAACACAUGCAAGUCGAACGGUAAGGCCCCUUCGGGGGUGCACGAGUGGCGAACGGGUGAGUAACACGUGAGCAACCUGCCCUUGACUCCGGGAUAACAGUUGGAAACAGCUGCUAAUACCGGAUACGACCUUCGAUGACAUCAUCUGGAGGUGGAAAGCGCUUUAGCGGUCAAGGAUGGGCUCGCGGCCUAUCAGCUUGUUGGUGAGGUAACGGCUCACCAAGGCUUCGACGGGUAGCCGGCCUGAGAGGGCGACCGGCCACACUGGGACUGAGAUACGGCCCAGACUCCUACGGGAGGCAGCAGUGGGGAAUAUUGCACAAUGGGCGCAAGCCUGAUGCAGCAACGCCGCGUGCGGGAUGACGGCCUUCGGGUUGUAAACCGCUUUCAGUUCCGACGAAGCGCAAGUGACGGUAGGAACAGAAGAAGGACCGGCCAACUACGUGCCAGCAGCCGCGGUGAUACGUAGGGUCCGAGCGUUGUCCGGAAUUAUUGGGCGUAAAGGGCUUGUAGGCGGUUUGUCACGUCGGAAGUGAAAACUCAGGGCUCAACCCUGAGCCUGCUUCCGAUACGGGCAAACUAGAGGGAUGCAGGGGAGAAUGGAAUUCCUGGUGGAGCGGUGGAAUGCGCAAUAUCAGGAGGAACACCGGUGGCGAAGGCGGUUCUCUGGGCAUUUCCUGACGCUGAGAAGCGAAAGCGUGGGGAGCAAACAGGCUUA